AGCCGGUUCGUCUAAUGGUAAGACGCGGGGCCGAUUACCUCGCUAUCUGGGUUCGAGUCCUAGGCUGGCUACCA
RNAcentral lists this transfer RNA (74 nucleotides) under Chlamydiota bacterium. RNAcentral describes it as "Chlamydiae bacterium tRNA-Ile". It matches the Rfam family "tRNA". From Rfam's summary of the family: Transfer RNA (tRNA) molecules are approximately 80 nucleotides in length. The record is from RNAcentral. Lineage: Bacteria; Pseudomonadati; Chlamydiota.